UAGGAGAAGAUGUCUCACAGAAAGAAGAGAAGAAAGAGUAGUUUGGACACUCACAUACAUGAUCUAAAGCAAAGCUGUCAACACUAACUGCUGAUUUACAGGAUAAUGUGGGCAUGCAUCGUGCUGCCGGGAUUGCAUGGAUGCGUCUUUUGCAACACCAUUGUGCAUGUGCACCGUGACGUCAUGGAAGCAGUGCUGCGAAUGUGCAGUGAGGAACUGGGGCUCUACUUAAGCAUCAGGAGAUUGGGAAUGUGGAUGGUAAAUUUGUGAGACUCCUGAAAUAUGUUGGCAUCUCUGCAAACAGGAUUUAUCAAGGGGAGGCAAUAUCAUAAGACUUACUUAUCCAUCUCACAUAACAAAACUACGUAAAAUGCCUUCAUUGCUCUUUACUUUGGACACAGAGAUAGUGCUCGAUAGUGUUAAUUGGAUAUACAUGAAAAGAACCGUAAAACAUUUUUGGCUUUCCCUCCUUUUAGCACUCUACUCCAAAACCUCAGCCCAAGUUAAUAAUAUUCUUAUUUGAUCCAUUCCAAGUCUAUGCAAUAGAUGCCCUCUAUCCCCCUUAAUAAAUACACUUUAGUGCAAAUA
This is a long non-coding RNA of Xenopus laevis (African clawed frog), 588 nucleotides long. RefSeq lists it as uncharacterized. The transcript has 2 exons. The record is from RefSeq and is a predicted model, not a curated record. NCBI's taxonomy places the organism in Eukaryota, Metazoa, Chordata, Amphibia, Anura, Pipidae.